AUACCCAACCGAGUCACAGCUCAUUCCCAUUCAGUCAUGCAAGGCCAAGUCAAGCUUGCAGUUGAUGCCACUCUGUGAACAGAGAAGAAACAUCUGCAAUUAUACGUACUCCUGGGAGAUGACAAACUGAAGAAGGUUUACACCAAGAAGCUAGUAGUUGAUUGAUCCAGCUUUACCAGAGAAGCAUCAGCUUCAUAUCUUGAAUUGUUGGGUCAGAAUAUUAAUGAUAUAUCACCGUUUCUUGUAAGAUAUUCUGUCAAUCUUCAAGUUGAGACCAUUUGUUUGAAGUUCGUGUGGUACUUUUAUUGUGUUAAACAGCCUUAUCAGUGUUUUUGUUGUUGGUGAAAAGGUUAUUUCGCCAUUUUAUUUAUGUGCAAGAGUAGUUUAUGCGUCUUCCAAAAA
Molecule: non-coding RNA, 402 nt
Organism: Coffea arabica (coffee)
Lineage: Eukaryota; Viridiplantae; Streptophyta; Magnoliopsida; Gentianales; Rubiaceae
Source: RefSeq, a predicted model, not a curated record